RNAcentral lists this ribosomal RNA (301 nucleotides) under uncultured bacterium. RNAcentral describes it as "partial 16S ribosomal RNA". It matches the Rfam family "Bacterial small subunit ribosomal RNA", at positions 509 to 807 of the family's 1533-position model. The record is from RNAcentral.
CAGUCGCCGCGGUAAUACAGAGGGUGCGAGCGUUAAUCGGAUUCACUGGGCGUAAAGCGUGCGUAGGCGGCUUCUUAAGUCGGAUGUGAAAUCCCUGAGCUUAACUUAGGAAUUGCAUUCGAUACUGGGAAGCUAGAGUAUGGGAGAGGAUGGUAGAAUUCCAGGUGUAGCGGUGAAAUGCGUAGAGAUCUGGAGGAAUACCGAUGGCGAAGGCAGCCAUCUGGCCUAAUACUGACGCUGAGGUACGAAAGCAUGGGGAGCAAACAGGAUUAGAUACCCCUGUAGUCCCUGUCUCUUAUAC